Podarcis lilfordi (Lilford's wall lizard) is the source of this 2170-nucleotide non-coding RNA. The record is from the annotation of a GenBank genome assembly. Lineage: Eukaryota; Metazoa; Chordata; Lepidosauria; Squamata; Lacertidae.
CUUAAGCGUACCAACACAUACUCAGGAGCCCUACCUAGUUGGCAUGCCAACCUUGAUGGUCCCAGACAGAAGACCAUCAUUGUCACAAAGGACUUGCAUAUGGGAGUGGAUUCAACAUGGACUGAAACAAAGGACAAUGAUCAGAUCUUCCCUCUGGGGGCAGGAAACUGCCAACUCCCCUUUGUCCUCUGGAAAUGACUCAUGGGGAAAAGGAGGAACCAGCCAGGUGACAAGAUACUCAGGUUACCUCCACAACUCCUCCCUCAACCCCUCCUUUUCGUCAUGUAGUUGUGAUAUAGUCUUAGGGGUGUAGUUUGGGGGAUUAGCAACUAAUAAAAGUUGGGGACUUCUUUUGUUCUGGGCUUCCAUCUUGCUUCAUCUUGUUGUGGGUGGGAGUCCUGUUGCGACAGAUUCCAAUAAAGGCCAAGCCUACAGGCUGCUGUUUUGCUCCAAAUUGUCCUGGUUGGUGUCUUUGUUUUUUGCCCAAGGGAGCCCUCGGAUUCCUCCGUUAACACCUGUAACCUCACUUCUUGCAGUGAGGGAACCGCCAGAAGGCCCUUGGCUCUGGACCUCAGUGUCCGGGCAGAACAAUGGGGGGUGGAGAUGCUCCUUCAGGUAUACAUGGCCGAGGCCGUUUACGGCUUUAAAGCUCAUCACCAACACUUUGAAUUGUGCUUGGAAACGUACUGGGAGCCAAUGCAGGUCUUUCAAGACUGGUGUUAUAUGGUAUCGGCAGCCGCUCCCAGUCACCAGUCUAGCUGCCACAUUCUGGAUUAGUUAAAAGUGGCAUGGCUCCCUCACCCCACCCCCCAGGAAGCCACUUUGCCAGCAACCUUCCCCCUUCAUUUAUUGUAAGGCUGUGAAUAUAAGCUGCAGUUUAACUUUUCCAGAUUAGAAAUUGGGGGGGAAACUGUGGCUUAUAUUUGGGCCAAUAUGUUGAUGAUGGGGGUGGUGACAAUGAUGAUUACUCUGCCCAUCUGACUGGGUUGCCACAGCAACUCUGGGUAGCUUCCAACAUAUAUAAAACACAAUAGAACAUUAUACAUUUUUAAAAAAAACUUUCUCCAGGGCUGCCUUCAUAUGUCUUCUAAAGGUUGUGUAGUUACUGAUCUCCUUGGCUCAGGGAUUGCAUAACAGCAUACCCACCAACAUUCCUUUGAUUAAAACAGAGACGUCCUAAGGAAAAGCAGGACAUUCUGGGAUCAAAUCAGAAACUGAGGCAGCUUCUAUAAAUCCAGGACUGCCCCUGGAAAAUAGGGACACUUGGAGGGUCUGAUGUUCUACCUCCAAAGUUGAAAGAAAUUUGUCUCCAAAUAAAAGUUGCCUCCGAACAAAUGCUGUCUGGUGUGGAAUUGCAAGAGGGGAGAAUUACUGUCCACUCAGGUCCUGCUUGCAGGCUCCUAGUACUUAUAUAAAUUCAAUUAAUAAUAAUAACCACAACCAUCUGGCCAGUUCCUGUGAAAACGAGAUAGUGAACUAGAGGGGACUUUCACCUGAUCCAGUAAGACUUUUCUUGUGGUCCUAUUGGCUUGUGACCUUCCAUUUCUUUCUUUUCUUUUUGCUUUGGGUGGAAGGGCAGAAUGGAAAUUAAAUAUGUAAAGUGGUAGUAGGGUGUGGUGAUUUGUGCAUGGAAGGUGGGGCUGACCUCAACGUAGAGAACUGAUGGGAGCAGUGCAAUUUUUGUUUCCUUCACCUACGUCAUUCCCCAAAAAACAAAAACCAACUUCAGGAACAGAUCAAAUUAAUAUAUAUUCUCAACUCCCUUCUAUGACAGAGGAAGACGGAAGGUUUUUGUCUCAGUUCCUCAUCAGACUUGAUCACCGUGCAACAAGCUAUAGCUGUUAAACCAAGCCCCACAGUAAUAGACAGCCUCAUCUUCAGGCUGGAUGUCAGUGAUGGUUAAAAAGCCAGUGUUUCCAGAGAAGGAAGCAGUGAAUCGAUCCGGGAUGCCUUCCCCCCUGUUGCUGCCGACGUACUGCACAUAGCGAGGGGCCUGUCCAGGUCUCUGCUGAAAAAAGGCAACAUAGCUGCUGCUGCGACCAUCACUGGACGUACAGGAGAGUUUAGCCGUUUGCCCCAGGGACACAGUUUCAGAGGCAGGCUGAGUCAGAGUAUGCUGUGAAACGACACCUUUGUGGAAAAGAAAAAAGAAUAAAAUGACCUCGAUUCA